This 91-nucleotide ribosomal RNA is filed under the name Paenibacillus sp. Marseille-P2973. RNAcentral's name for it is "partial 16S ribosomal RNA". It matches the Rfam family "Bacterial small subunit ribosomal RNA", at positions 1 to 87 of the family's 1533-position model. The record is from RNAcentral. Lineage: Bacteria; Bacillati; Bacillota; Bacilli; Caryophanales; Paenibacillaceae.
UUAUUGGAGAGUUUGAUCCUGGCUCAGGACGAACGCUGGCGGCGUGCCUAAUACAUGCAAGUCGAGCGGACUUGAUGAGGAGCUUGCUCCU